Molecule: ribosomal RNA, 311 nt
Filed under: uncultured eukaryote
Lineage: Eukaryota
Description: partial 18S ribosomal RNA
Rfam family: Eukaryotic small subunit ribosomal RNA
Source: RNAcentral
CCCUUAGAUGUCCUGGGCCGCACGCGUGCUACACUGAUGCAUACAGCGAGUACUCCCAGCUCCGAGAGGCUGCUGGUAAUCAGCAAUAUGCAUCGUGAUGGGGAUAGAUCUUUGGAAUUAUAGAUCUUGAACGAGGAAUUCCUAGUAAUCGCAGGUCAUCACCCUGCGUUGACUAAGUCCCUGCCCUUUGUACACACCGCCCGUCGCUCCUACCGAUUUCGAGUGAUCCGGUGAAUCAUUCGGACCGCGGCCCCUAGGCAUGCGGAAAGUCUAGUAAACCAGAUCACUUAGAGGAAGGAGAAGUCGUAACA